This 224-nucleotide ribosomal RNA is filed under the name uncultured bacterium. RNAcentral's name for it is "partial 16S ribosomal RNA". It matches the Rfam family "Bacterial small subunit ribosomal RNA", at positions 943 to 1168 of the family's 1533-position model. The record is from RNAcentral.
GGUUUAAUUCGAAGCAACGCGAAGAACCUUACCAGGCCUUGACAUGCAGAGAACUUUCCAGAGAUGGAUUGGUGCCUUCGGGAACUCUGACACAGGUGCUGCAUGGCUGUCGUCAGCUCGUGUCGUGAGAUGUUGGGUUAAGUCCCGUAACGAGCGCAACCCUUGUCCUUAGUUACCAGCACGUUAAGGUGGGCACUCUAAGGAGACUGCCGGUGACAACGGAG